RNAcentral lists this ribosomal RNA (459 nucleotides) under uncultured bacterium. Its description in RNAcentral is "bacterial SSU rRNA". It matches the Rfam family "Bacterial small subunit ribosomal RNA", at positions 28 to 507 of the family's 1533-position model. The record is from RNAcentral.
GAUGAACGUUGGCGGUGUGCCUAAUACAUGCAAGUCGAACGGAGACUGUAGCAAUACUGUCUUAGUGGCGAACGGGUGAGUAACGCGUUGGUGAUCUGCCUCGAAGUGUGGAAUAACCUCCCGAAAGGGAAGCUAAUACCGCAUAGUCUCUCAAGGUUUAGAAAAUUGAGAGUAAAGGAUUUAUUCGCUUCGAGAGGAGCCUGCGUCCCAUCAGCUAGUUGGUAGGGUAACGGCCUACCAAGGCAAUGACGGGUAGGGGACCUGAGAGGGUGGCCCCCACAAUGGAACUGAAACACGGUCCAUACACCUACGGGUGGCAGCAGUAGGGAAUAUUAGUAAUGGGCGAAAGCCUGAACUAGCGACACCGCGUGUGCGAAGAAGGCCUUCGGGUUGUAAAGCACUUUUAGAGAGGAUGAGGAAGGACGGUACGUCUCUGAAUAAGUCUCGGCUAACUACGUG